This is a long non-coding RNA of Peromyscus eremicus (cactus mouse), 763 nucleotides long. RefSeq lists it as uncharacterized. The record is from RefSeq and is a predicted model, not a curated record. Lineage: Eukaryota; Metazoa; Chordata; Mammalia; Rodentia; Cricetidae. The transcript is spliced from 2 exons.
ACUCUGGGACACUGGCCAGCGGAGAACUCUUUUGAGGACUAUGGGGGUGGCUCUUCCUUCUCCCCACGAGGCCCCCGGGAAGAGUGUUUACCUGUGCCGUGAAAAAGGCUGGAGUGAGGGAUCCUGAGGGGAGGGCUGGGCUGUUGAGGGCGAUGGAGCCGAUGUCGGUGCCGGAGAGCAACAGCUGAGGGGGGCUGUCCUCACACGGCUCCUCCAGCUUCUCCGUCUUGAUGGCCUUGAAGGCCUCAGGAGGGUUCUGCAGGGAGUUGAUGGUGAAGGAGGAGUACAGGCCGGAGUGGAUGUAUUCAUUUCGGCUUGUGCUUUUGAGGGCGGACAAGCCAUGCUUGUGGACCUCUCGGCCUUCGGGGGACACCUUACAGUCGCUGUCCUGCAGCAGGAGGCUCUCCCGGCUGAUCUCCACCGCGUGAGGAUCCAUUUUUAGGAUAUCCGGGAAAGAGACGAACUUGUACACAAACUUCUGCCCAAUCACUUUCUUGAUGAUGUUCUGUGAAUACAAAAGCGGACAUUUAAAAUGGGUGAGCCGGAGACAAGGAAUGAUGAAAUGUUGGCAGCCGAAGCCCCCAAAAUAUUCCUGAUGUCCACAGGGUGGUUAAGAGGACAUCAGAGACUCUUAACGUCAGAGACUGAAGGCCCCAUUUGCACUUUGGUCCUGCUGCCCAGGAAUGAUGUACUCUCCAGCCUUUGGCCACUUUCUCAUCCGUAUUAUUGUAACAAUUUUGUAAUAGCAAAAGCUACCCGCUGA